AAAUGACUCUCGGCAACGGAUAUCUCGGCUCUCGCAUCGAUGAAGAACGUAGCGAAAUGCGAUACUUGGUGUGAAUUGCAGAAUCCCGUGAACCAUCGAGUCUUUGAACGCAAGUUGCGCCCGAAGCCUUCGGGCUGAGGGCACGUCUGCCUGGGCGUCACGCAU
Molecule: ribosomal RNA, 165 nt
Filed under: Rochefortia bahamensis
Lineage: Eukaryota; Viridiplantae; Streptophyta; Magnoliopsida; Boraginales; Ehretiaceae
Description: 5.8S ribosomal RNA
Rfam family: 5.8S ribosomal RNA
About the family: 5.8S ribosomal RNA (5.8S rRNA) is a component of the large subunit of the eukaryotic ribosome.
Source: RNAcentral